Non-coding RNA from Trichobilharzia regenti, 48 nucleotides. The record is from Rfam. Lineage: Eukaryota; Metazoa; Platyhelminthes; Trematoda; Strigeidida; Schistosomatidae.
AUCCAGUUGAUGAGUUCUAAAUAGGACGAAAUGCGCGUUGUCCUAGAU